RNAcentral lists this ribosomal RNA (430 nucleotides) under uncultured bacterium. RNAcentral describes it as "bacterial SSU rRNA". It matches the Rfam family "Bacterial small subunit ribosomal RNA", at positions 917 to 1345 of the family's 1533-position model. The record is from RNAcentral.
GGGCCCGCACAAGCGGUGGAGUAUGUGGUUUAAUUCGAUGCAACGCGAAGAACCUUACCAGGGUUUGACAUCCUGCGAAUCUCUUGGAAACAGGAGAGUGCCUUCGGGAACGCAGUGACAGGUGGUGCAUGGCUGUCGUCAGCUCGUGCCGUGAGGUGUUGGGUUAAGUCCCGUAACGAGCGAAACCCUUAUCGUUAGUUGCCAGCGGGUAAUGCCGGGGACUCUAGCGAGACUGCCGUUGUCAAAACGGAGGAAGGUGGGGACGACGUCAAGUCAUCAUGGCCCUUAUGGCCUGGGCUACAAACGUGCUACAAUGGUCCGUACAAUGGGUACCCAAGUCGCGAGACGGAGGCAAUCCCAUCAAAGCGGGCCCCAGUUCGGAUUGGAGUCUGCAACUCGACUCCAUGAAGCUGGAAUCGCUAGUAAUCCC